CUUAUCUCAUAGCUCUUUUCUUCCGCAUGUUUAGUUCUUAGUUUCCUUUUUUCUGGUGUGGGCUGCAUUUGGAGCACAGCUGAAUUGAAUUGCAGAUAUUACCUUCAUGAAGUGGGAUGAGUAAACUGUAAUUACCUUUAGUAAUAUUGGGGGAGAGUACAAAUUGCAACUAUGUUUCCUUAAUGUUGGAUUUGAAAGCAACAUAUCUGCGAUUGGAGGGACAUUACAAUGUGAUUAUUUCCUCUUUGAUAAACUUGGUUGAUCACAAUUCAAUUCAGUUUCGCAUCCAAACACACCAUCAAGUAAUAACUUUGGUAUCUUCUCCCAACAUCGACUGAGAGCCUGUCUGUUCUUUUUCUUCUUCUUUUUUGUUUUUGUUUUUGUUUUGUUUUUUGUUUUUUAAAUUGAAACCGUUAUGUCUUUCUUAUUAUGUGGAGACUUUAAGUCCCUUUUGGACUCAAACUCACAAAAAGUUCUCUGCAUAAAGGGGUUCUCACACAACUUCUGGAAUAACAAAAUCAGAGUAGGCUUUUUAGCGAAUAUUUUGACAAGUGGGCAAUCAGACGGGGUUUGCAUAAGUGUAUCCAAUCUCACAUAAAAAACUGGGGUUUGGCUUAAAACAGCGUUUAGUUCUCAAAUGCCCCUUUUGAGGGGGUUCCAAACGGAUCCUUAGGGUUGCCACUCUCUCCAAAAUAAGAGAUUUAUUAUUAUUAUUAUUUUUUAAGGUUGCUAGUAGCUAAUGCAAUUUCAUGGCAUCCCAUGGAUUACACGUGUUGGAUAUUAGACAAUUUGGGGGUGGCCAUGGGAUCUGAGGUAUAUGGCACUGCUGUACUCACAUAUUUUUAUAUGAAGGUAAUUAAAACUUACGAACUAUUUUAAAUAACUACUAAAACAUACGCUAGAACUAUUUUAAAUAAUGAAAAUACU
Molecule: long non-coding RNA, 927 nt
Organism: Magnolia sinica
Lineage: Eukaryota; Viridiplantae; Streptophyta; Magnoliopsida; Magnoliales; Magnoliaceae
Exons: 2
Source: RefSeq, a predicted model, not a curated record